CACCGCGGUUAUACGAGAGACCCUAGUUGAUAGGUGCGGCGUAAAGGGUGGUUAAGGAGAACAAAAGCUUAAAGCCAAAGGGCCUCCUGGCCGUCAUACGCUUCCGAGUGUCCGAAGCCCAAGCACGAAAGUAGCUUUAACACAAGCCCGCCUGACCCCACGAAAGCUGAGAAA
RNAcentral lists this ribosomal RNA (174 nucleotides) under Labigastromyzon fangi. RNAcentral describes it as "partial 12S rRNA". Lineage: Eukaryota; Metazoa; Chordata; Actinopteri; Cypriniformes; Gastromyzontidae. The record is from RNAcentral.